Molecule: ribosomal RNA, 440 nt
Filed under: uncultured bacterium
Lineage: Bacteria
Description: partial 16S ribosomal RNA
Rfam family: Bacterial small subunit ribosomal RNA
Source: RNAcentral
CCUACGGGAGGCUGCAAUGGGGAAUAUUGCACAAUGGGGGAAACCCUGAUGCAGCGACGCCGCGUGAGUGAAGAAGUAUUUCGGUACGUAAAGCUCUAUCAGCAGGGAAGAAAAUGACGGUACCUGACUAAGAAGCCCCGGCUAACUACGUGUCAGCAGCCGCGGUAAUACGUAGGGGGCAAGCGUUAUCCGGAUUUACUGGGUGUAAAGGGAGCGUAGACGGCAGCGCAAGUCUGGAGUGAAAUCCCAUGGCUUAACCAUGGAACUGCUUUGGAAACUGUGCAGCUAGAGUGCAGGAGAGGUAAGCGGAAUUCCUAGUGUAGCGGUGAAAUGCGUAGAUAUUAGGAGGAACACCAGUGGCGAAGGCGGCUUACUGGACUGUAACUGACGUUGAGGCUCGAAAGCGUGGGGAGCAAACAGGAUUAGAUACCCCUGUAGUC